This 468-nucleotide ribosomal RNA is filed under the name uncultured bacterium. RNAcentral's name for it is "partial 16S ribosomal RNA". It matches the Rfam family "Bacterial small subunit ribosomal RNA", at positions 28 to 507 of the family's 1533-position model. The record is from RNAcentral.
GACGAACGCUGGCGGCGUGCUUAACACAUGCAAGUCGAACGGAAAGGCCCUGCUUUUGUGGGGUGCUCGAGUGGCGAACGGGUGAGUAACACGUGAGUAACCUGCCCUUGACUUUGGGAUAACUUCAGGAAACUGGGGCUAAUACCGGAUAGGAGCUCCUGCUGCAUGGUGGGGGUUGGAAAGUUUCGGCGGUUGGGGAUGGACUCGCGGCUUAUCAGCUUGUUGGUGGGGUAGUGGCUUACCAAGGCUUUGACGGGUAGCCGGCCUGAGAGGGUGACCGGCCACAUGGGGACUGAGAUACGGCGCAGACGCCUACGGGAGGCAGCAGUGGGGAAUAUUGCACAAUGGGCGGAAGCCUGAUGCAGCAACGCCGCGUGCGGGAUGACGGCCUUCGGGUUGUAAACCGCUUUCGCCUGUGACGAAGCGUGAGUGACGGUAAUGGGUAAAGAAGCACCGGCUAACUACGUG